GACGAACGCUGGCGGCGUGCCUAAUACAUGCAAGUUGAGCGAUGAAGAUUGGUGCUUGCACCAAUUUGAAGAGCAGCGAACGGGUGAGUAACGCGUGGGGAAUCUGCCUUUGAGCGGGGGACAACAUUUGGAAACGAAUGCUAAUACCGCAUAACAACUUUAAACAUAAGUUUUAAGUUUGAAAGAUGCAAUUGCAUCACUCAAAGAUGAUCCCGCGUUGUAUUAGCUAGUUGGUGAGGUAAAGGCUCACCAAGGCGAUGAUACAUAGCCGACCUGAGAGGGGGAUCGGCCACAGUGGGACUGAGACACGGCCCAAACUCCUACGGGAGGCAGCAGUAGGGAAUCUUCGGCAAUAGACGAAAGUCUGACCGAGCAACGCCGCGUGAGUGAAGAAGGUUGUCGGAUCGUAAAACUCUGUUGGUAGAGAAGAACGUUGGUGAGAGUGGAAAGCUCAUCAAGUGACGGUAACUACCCAGAAAGGGACGGCUAACUACGUG
RNAcentral lists this ribosomal RNA (497 nucleotides) under uncultured bacterium. RNAcentral describes it as "partial 16S ribosomal RNA". It matches the Rfam family "Bacterial small subunit ribosomal RNA", at positions 28 to 507 of the family's 1533-position model. The record is from RNAcentral.